GGAGUCGUACCGAAGUGGUCGUACCGGGACGCACUCGAAAUGCGUUUGUCGAGCAAUCGGCACGUGGGUUCGAAUCCCACCGACUCCGCCA
Molecule: transfer RNA, 91 nt
Filed under: Clostridiales bacterium
Lineage: Bacteria; Bacillati; Bacillota; Clostridia; Eubacteriales
Description: tRNA-Ser
Rfam family: tRNA
About the family: Transfer RNA (tRNA) molecules are approximately 80 nucleotides in length. Their secondary structure includes four short double-helical elements and three loops (D, anti-codon, and T loops).
Source: RNAcentral